UGGUGAAGUGAUGUGUACAAUCUUUCGGGUCUGACUUCAAAAUCAAUGGAGAGUUUUCUUAACCUGAUCACCU
This is a small nucleolar RNA of Thalassophryne amazonica, 73 nucleotides long. RefSeq annotates it as small nucleolar RNA SNORD2. The transcript has a single exon. NCBI's taxonomy places the organism in Eukaryota, Metazoa, Chordata, Actinopteri, Batrachoidiformes, Batrachoididae. The record is from RefSeq and is a predicted model, not a curated record.